Molecule: unclassified non-coding RNA, 257 nt
Filed under: Dothiora prunorum
Lineage: Eukaryota; Fungi; Ascomycota; Dothideomycetes; Dothideales; Dothioraceae
Description: partial internal transcribed spacer region
Rfam family: Eukaryotic small subunit ribosomal RNA (bases 1-46)
Source: RNAcentral
AAGUCGUAACAAGGUUUCCGUAGGUGAACCUGCGGAAGGAUCAUUAAAGAGUAAGGGUCUCCGGCCCGAACCUCCAACCCUCUGUUGUUAUAACUACUUCGUUGCUUUGGCGGGACCGCAAAGGUUCUCCCGAGCGCGCCGGUCUCCGGACAGGCGAGCGCCCGCCAGAGUCCAACCAAACUCUUGUUUUAAACCAGUCGUCUGAGUAUAAAAUUUUAAUUAAAUUAAAACUUUCAACAACGGAUCUCUUGGUUCUC